GAAUUCAACUCCUACGGGAGGCAGCAGUGGGGAAUAUUGGACAAUGGGCGAAAGCCUGAUCCAGCCAUGCCGCGUGUGUGAAGAAGGUCUUCGGAUUGUAAAGCACUUUAAGUUGGGAGGAAGGGCAGUAAGUUAAUACCUUGCUGUUUUGACGUUACCGACAGAAUAAGCACCGGCUAACUCUGUGCCAGCAGCCGCGGUAAUACAGAGGGUGCAAGCGUUAAUCGGAAUUACUGGGCGUAAAGCGCGCGUAGGUGGUUUGUUAAGUUGGAUGUGAAAGCCCCGGGCUCAACCUGGGAACUGCAUCCAAAACUGGCAAGCUAGAGUACGGUAGAGGGUGGUGGAAUUUCCUGUGUAGCGGUGAAAUGCGUAGAUAUAGGAAGGAACACCAGUGGCGAAGGCGACCACCUGGACUGAUACUGACACUGAGGUGCGAAAGCGUGGGGAGCAAACAGGAUUAGAUACCCUAGUAGUCCAGGCGUU
RNAcentral lists this ribosomal RNA (483 nucleotides) under uncultured bacterium. RNAcentral describes it as "bacterial SSU rRNA". It matches the Rfam family "Bacterial small subunit ribosomal RNA", at positions 328 to 803 of the family's 1533-position model. The record is from RNAcentral.